CGCGCACGGCACGCCCACCCGGGACGGCCAAGAAACCAGAGAGGAGGAGGAGGGCGCCCAGAGGGAAGCCCCCACACAAAGCCAGGGCACCCCGGAGACGGACCAUGCGUUGUGCCUCGGUGCACUUAUAGGCCACAGACGAUGCGCUGGCGCCGCGAUGACGACAGGCGUCUGCCGGCGAGCCCGGCAAAGCCUUCUCACCUUACGCUACAUCAACAAUCAACACGAGCAUCAAUUUUCAUCAUAAUCAAUCUACUCAAUGUUUCUUCUCUCUUUUCAUCUCUUGUUUCAGCAAGGAGACCCAAGGAGGAGACGCGCCCGCUACGGCAGCCUCGCAGAUAGAGGAGCCAGAGGAGAGGGCGCGCCCAUGGCAGCGGCGCACUCACCAGGCAACAUGCACGCUGUCCGCCGACGGCUGCGCGUGCGCCGAGAGGCAAGCCAGGAGGUCGGGGGACACGCCCGACGGCUCCUAGCUCGCCGUGGCGCCACACCGGAGAUGGCUCUGACUGCGUGAGCUUGAAGAUGCGCCGGUGACAGCCGCGGGGGCGAGGCGUCCACGGCCGUCCUCCCGGCGUUGGCGACCACCAGGCUCGCGCGCGUAGGAGCAAACGCCAGUCGUCCAUCAUCUUCAAGAUGCAAGUUCAGGAUGGAACGUGCACUACAAGUCUACAACACCAAACCAUCGGCGUCUUUCCUCUACACGUCAUAGGUCAGCACAUGUUUGUGUUAACCCAUCUCUCUUCAUUUCCUAGAUCUGUCCUGGAGCACAACAAGCGCCUGGAGGAACUAGCCGGCCGUGCCAUGGAGGCGAGGCUCACGUUCCCGGAUGCACGCAAGACCAUCAUGCUAUUGGAGCUUAUCUACACAAGCCCAUCAUCCUCUUGAGUGUUACGACCUAGGCGUGGUCGGCGCUCGCUAACAAUGAAGCCCGAGACCGGCCUGCAUUGUUCUUGGUACACAGGUCUUUGAUGAACAGGUCAUGAAGUUCACGUCGCACGCACAGGUCGCGAUGCACAUAUUGCGACGAACAGGGCCACGGUGAACAGGUUCAUCGUGAAGGAGAGACACAGGCGUACAGGUUUUGCAACACGCUUUUGGAGAAGACGGCGUGGCGGAAUCGGAGCUCGCCGACGACGCAGCCUGAGAUGCGCCUUUACCUUCAUGACGUACAGAUUCUCAACGGAACCAGUGUCCACAGCGACGCGGCUCACGACCGGCCCCUCCUUCAUGAGGCGCACGUCACUGACGGAUAGUUCAAUAGCGAACAGAUCAUAGGCGUACAGGUUUUGCACUACAUUCUUGAAGGAGACGGUGUGGCGUAACCGGAGCUCGCGAUGACGCAGCCCAAGACUCCCUUCUCCCUUCAUGGCAUACAGAUCUUUGUCCGAGCCAGAAUUUGCAACGACGCAGUACAAGAUCGGUCCCUCCUUCGAGAGGCGCACCCACCAUGGCGAACAGGUCUAUGGAGUCGCGGGCGUAUAGGUCACCCUUUGGCGUAGCACCAGCCCAAGGCGACGUGGCCUCUACAACGCCGCCUUUCCACGGCCUCGUGAGGUGGCCCCUUUUGUCUUGGUAGACCGCCGAAUACUCGGCGUCUAGCCGAGACGAGGCGCUAACCACCUCGGCCAGGCCAAUGUGAGUGCGCGUCAGUUUUUACAUUGACGCCGGUCUGUUCAAACUAUUACUCCCGCAAGGCGCACCCACCAUGGCGGACAGGUCCUUGGCGUAUAGGUCCACGGCGUACAGGUCACCCUUUGGCGUAGCACCAGCCCAAGGCGACGUGGCCUCUACAACGCCGCCUUUCCACGGCCUCGUGAGGCGGCCCCUUUUGUCUUGGUAGACCGCCGAAUACUCGGCGUCGAGCCAAGACGAGGUGCCAACCACCUCGGCCAGGCCAAUGUCAUUGGCGUAUAGGUCCAUGGCGUCGCUGGCGUACAGGUCACCCUUUGGCGUAGCACCAGCCCAAGGCGAUGUGGCCUCUACAACGCCGCCUUUCCACGGCCUCGUGAGGCGGCCCCCUUUGUCUUGUUGGUAGACCGCCGAAUACUCGGCGUCGAGCCAAGACGAGGUGCCAACCACACCGGCCACGCCCAUGUGAGCGCGCGUUAGUUUUUACACUGACGCCGGUCUCCCCAAACUAUUACUCCCGCAAGGCGCGACCCAUUCCACCCCGACAACAAAUACUCCAACGCUGCCAAGAACGACGAGGCACGACGGUCUGAGGUCUACAUCGACGAGCUCGCAUUGUCGUCAUCUUCAAGCAACACCGCCACGCGGCAACACUCGAAUCUACUCCGACUUUUACAUCAACACACUCCCAAACCCCGUCGAAGCUCUGAUGAGGCGAAGCCACUUCACCGACAUGUCUUCUUCCGAUGAAGCUAUCCAUAUCUUGCCGGGCACCGAAGAGGCGAAGGCAAGACACACCGUGUCUGACACCGAUGAGGCGGACACCACCAGGCCGGGCACCGACGAGGCGAAGGCCGACCAUCUGUCUGAGCUGACGAGGCCAGACAUCUUCAUCAUCGGAUAUCGACAAGCCAGAGGGACGUGACUAAGCGUCGCCGGAGCGACGGACGUACCGUUCCACUCUUCUAUUCCACCACACCAUCACCAUCAUCUACACCGAGCACUUGGAGAUGACGAGACUUGAAGACGACGACCAUUGCAGUGGCUUAAUCGGAGGUGGUCCGCGGCUCCGGCUUGCGGACGUAAUUAAUCGGGAGCCUUCCGAGGGCCCGUGAACCAGAACAUCACAAUCGUCGAAGUCAUAUUGACCGAGCUAGCAGGACGUUGAGCGCUUAUGUAAAGGGAUCAUGUAAUUUGUUUUCUCACGAUCGUACAAGUUUCCCUAUGUUUUCUUUGUGUACUUAGUACACUGGCACGCCCA
This is a long non-coding RNA of Triticum aestivum (bread wheat), 2890 nucleotides long. RefSeq lists it as uncharacterized. NCBI's taxonomy places the organism in Eukaryota, Viridiplantae, Streptophyta, Magnoliopsida, Poales, Poaceae. The transcript is spliced from 2 exons. The record is from RefSeq and is a predicted model, not a curated record.